AGCCGAUUAAGACUGACCAAUAUUCUUUUUUGAUGUGGCUGGUUCAUGUCCUUGAUUGCAUAGAAUAUCCAACGUUUCUUCCGUUCCAGAUUUUCUAAUGGGCUCCUUCUGGCUGUAGCUCAGGAAUUAAAUAUUUUAGGUUGUAUGUUUUACCUCAGGAAUUGAAUAUUUUGGAGCUCGAGAGAUCAACAAGAAGUUCAGAGUCAAGAUUCUUGAUAACAACAUGCCUGAAAAUUCUACCUCAACAAAUAGGUGUAGCAGUGCACUUAUCUCUUCCUCUGCCCAACAACGGCAAAGAAGCCGUCCAAGGUCUUGCCCUCCCUGUCUCAAGGGAAGAGCUGAUACCGGGCGAGGACAACAAUGCCGGCUGCUGAUACCUCAAAGACAGAAGAACACCCGCAGCACCUAUCUUACCAUGCUAUCCACUAAUUAAUUAACAAUGUAUAUUAGUACCACUAGCUAAUCGACAAACUAUGUACUGGAGUACUAUGUAUUAAGCAACAAUGCAAGAUAUUACCAGUAACUAA
Molecule: long non-coding RNA, 527 nt
Organism: Lolium perenne
Lineage: Eukaryota; Viridiplantae; Streptophyta; Magnoliopsida; Poales; Poaceae
Source: RefSeq, a predicted model, not a curated record